RNAcentral lists this ribosomal RNA (560 nucleotides) under Cercospora lactucae-sativae. RNAcentral describes it as "eukaryotic LSU rRNA". The stretch from base 200 to 353 matches the Rfam family "5.8S ribosomal RNA". Lineage: Eukaryota; Fungi; Ascomycota; Dothideomycetes; Mycosphaerellales; Mycosphaerellaceae. The record is from RNAcentral.
GAAGUAAAAGUCGUAACAAGGUCUCCGUAGGUGAACCUGCGGAGGGAUCAUUACUGAGUGAGGGCCUUCGGGCUCGACCUCCAACCCUUUGUGAACACAACUUGUUGCUUCGGGGGCGACCCUGCCGUUUCGACGGCGAGCGCCCCCGGAGGCCUUCAAACACUGCAUCUUUGCGUCGGAGUUUAAGUAAAUUAAACAAAACUUUCAACAACGGAUCUCUUGGUUCUGGCAUCGAUGAAGAACGCAGCGAAAUGCGAUAAGUAAUGUGAAUUGCAGAAUUCAGUGAAUCAUCGAAUCUUUGAACGCACAUUGCGCCCCUUGGUAUUCCGAGGGGCAUGCCUGUUCGAGCGUCAUUUCACCACUCAAGCCUCGCUUGGUAUUGGGCGCCGCGGUGUUCCGCGCGCCUCAAAGUCUCCGGCUGAGCUGUCCGUCUCUAAGCGUUGUGAUUUCAUUAAUCGCUUCGGAGCGCGGGCGGUCGCGGCCGUUAAAUCUUUCAUAAGGUUGACCUCGGAUCAGGUAGGGAUACCCGCUGAACUUAAGCAUAUCAAUAAGCGGAGGAA